CCGGAGCCAUUGUGGCUCAGGCAGGUUGCGCCUGCCCUCGGGCCCUCACGGAGGCGGGGGUUCCAGGGCACGAGUUCGAGGCCAGCCUGGUCCACAUGGGUCGGAAAAAAGGACUUUUUUUU
RNAcentral lists this non-coding RNA (122 nucleotides) under Homo sapiens (human). RNAcentral describes it as "small NF90 (ILF3) associated RNA A12 (SNAR-A12, SNAR-A13)". It matches the Rfam family "snaR-A sRNA". From Rfam's summary of the family: Small NF90/ILF3-associated RNAs (snaR) are ~120 nucleotides long and are known to interact with NF90 double-stranded RNA-binding motifs. snaR-A is abundant in human testis and has been shown to associate with ribosomes in HeLa cells. snaR-A is present in human and gorilla but not in chimpanzee. Other snaR RNAs are found in African Great Apes (including chimpanzee and bonobo). Lineage: Eukaryota; Metazoa; Chordata; Mammalia; Primates; Hominidae. The record is from RNAcentral.